RNAcentral lists this ribosomal RNA (262 nucleotides) under Escherichia coli. RNAcentral's name for it is "partial 23S ribosomal RNA". It matches the Rfam family "Bacterial large subunit ribosomal RNA", at positions 1639 to 1883 of the family's 2925-position model. Lineage: Bacteria; Pseudomonadati; Pseudomonadota; Gammaproteobacteria; Enterobacterales; Enterobacteriaceae. The record is from RNAcentral.
AAAUCGUACCCCAAACCGACACAGGUGGUCAGGUAGAGAAUACCAAGGCGCUUGAGAGAACUCGGGUGAAGGAACUAGGCAAAAUGGUGCCGUAACUUCGGGAGAAGGCACGCUGAUAUGUAGGUGAGGUCCCUCGCGGAUGGAGCUGAAAUCAGUCGAAGAUACCAGCUGGCUGCAACUGUUUAUUAAAAACACAGCACUGUGCAAACACGAAAGUGGACGUAUACGGUGUGACGCCUGCCCGGUGCCGGAAGGUUAAUUG